AUGCUCUUAUUUGGGAGUUUUUACUUCCUUUGGUGUUAUUGGCAGAGUAAAUUCCUUGAGGUGUAUGCAUAUCCCAAACAAGCACUCAGCAGUCCCCAUGCCCAAAUUGCCGGGGGGAGGGAAUCAAAUCCAUCCCCCUGGAUUGGAAGCACAGGAACCUUAACAUCAGGAAAGUCCUGCCCAACUUUUUCUCUUCUGCUUUCCUCUGACACCAAAGCUGGAAAUGGACAGCCUUAUUUCCUAGUUGUUCUUGCAUCUGGGCUUCUAAACUGCGAAUCUGGUUCGACAAGUUAGUUAUCUGCGCGUGAGUGAGACUGAGAGUCAGGAUGGAGGCAGAAGCUACCUUCCUUCGCAUUCACUUGUAAUCAUCGGGCAACGUGAUUGUGAGACACUGGGACUUUCUAAAGCUGCGUCUCAAGGUUUAGUCGCUAAUUUAAUGGGCCCCCAGAGGAGGCUGGAUGGCAUCACUGACUCGAUGGACGUGAGUCUGAGUGAACUCUGGGAGUUGGUGAUGGACAGGGAGGCCUGGUGUGCUGCGAUUCAUGGGGUCGCAAAGAGUCGGACACGACUGAGCAACUGAAUCGACUGAACUCAACUGAAAGACUGCUUGGGCUUCCCUAGUGGCUCAGUUGGUAAAGAAUCCACCUGCAAUGCAAAAGACAUGGGUUUGAUCCCUGGGUCGGGAAGAUCCCCUGGAGGAGGAAAUGGCAACCCACUGCAGUAUUCUUGCUUGAUAAUGCCAUGGACAGAGGAGCCUGCUGGGCUACAGUCCCUGGAGUUGCAAGAGUUGGACACAACUUAGUGACUAAACCACCACCAAAGAUUGCUUAUUGGUUGGAUGUCCACCACUACUAGACUUUAAUCUCUAUUCAAACACAGACUUUGUUUUGCUCACUUCUGUAUAGCCUUCUAACACUUAGAACCCUAGUGGCAGACAGUAGGAACUCCAUAAAUAGUGUUCAAUCAAUGAAUCUAUUUUUCUUAACAGAAUGUUGGUGCGUGCAUUUAAGUCGCUUCAGUCGUGUCUGACUGUUUGUGACCCUAGCCCACCAGGCUCCUCUGACCAUGAGACUCUCCAGGCAUGAACACUGGAGUGCGUUGCCAUGCCCUCCUCCAAGGGAUCUUCCCAACCCAGGGAUCAAACCUACAUCUCUUACCUCUCUUGUAUUGUCAGAGGGGUUCUUUAUCACUAGCGUCACCUGGGAAGCCCUCUUACCUGAACACUACUCCUAAAUUACUGCAUUAGUAACAAGGUCAUCAACAAUAUACCCUCAGUUAUGCCUCUUCAUGAAGCUUUCACCCGGGUUUAGAAAAUCCUCAAAGAAAGCAAAGUGAUAUGUGUUCUCUGAAUCUUAGCAUUAAAUUUAGGGUGACCAAAUCCUUCUGGUUUGCCUGAUAUUUUCUGUUUUAGCACUGAAAUCCCAUGACCUGAGCAAACCAAGAUGAUUAGUUGCCCUAGUUAAAUUCAUGAGGUGGUGAAGGAAGGCAGAAGCUACCUUCCUUCGCAUUCACUUGUAAUCAUCGGGCAACGUGAUUGUGAGACACUGGGACUUUCUAAAGCUGCGUCUCAAGGUUUAGUCGCUAAUUUAAUGGGCCCCCAGAGGAGGCUGGAUGGCAUCACUGACUCAAUGGACGUGAGUCUGAGUGAACUCUGGGAGUUGGUGAUGGACAGGGAGGCCUGGUGUGCUGCGAUUCAUGGGGUCGCAAAGAGUCGGACACGACUGAGCAACUGAAUCGACUGAACUCAACUGAAAGACUGCUUGGGCUUCCCUAGUGGCUCAGUUGGUAAAGAAUCCACCUGCAAUGCAAAAGACAUGG
This is a long non-coding RNA of Bos grunniens (domestic yak), 1818 nucleotides long. The record is from Ensembl. NCBI's taxonomy places the organism in Eukaryota, Metazoa, Chordata, Mammalia, Artiodactyla, Bovidae.